RNAcentral lists this unclassified non-coding RNA (365 nucleotides) under soil metagenome. RNAcentral describes it as "partial contains 5.8S ribosomal RNA, internal transcribed spacer 2, and large subunit ribosomal RNA". The stretch from base 1 to 120 matches the Rfam family "5.8S ribosomal RNA", at positions 35 to 154 of the family's 154-position model. The record is from RNAcentral.
GAUGAAGAACGUAGCGAAAUGCGAUAAGUAAUGUGAAUUGCAGAAUUCAGUGAAUCAUCGAAUCUUUGAACGCACAUUGCGCCCGCCAGCAUUCUGGCGGGCAUGCCUGUUCGAGCGUCAUUUCAACCCUCGCAGCCCAUCUGGGCAGCGGUGUUGGGGACCGGCACCACCGGCGAAGCCCUUAGGGGCUCAGCCGGCGCCGCCCCCGAAAUACAGUGGCGGUCUCGCUGCAGCCUCCCUUGCGUAGUAGCACACCUCGCACCGGAGCGCAGCGCGGCCACGCCGUAAAACCCCCGACUUUCUGAGUUUGACCUCGAAUCAGGUAGGAAUACCCGCUGAACUUAAGCAUAUCAAUAAGCGGAGGA